Mastomys coucha (southern multimammate mouse) is the source of this 1011-nucleotide long non-coding RNA. RefSeq lists it as uncharacterized. Lineage: Eukaryota; Metazoa; Chordata; Mammalia; Rodentia; Muridae. The transcript has 2 exons. The record is from RefSeq and is a predicted model, not a curated record.
CAGAGGACUCUCAGCUGCGCUUGAUAACGUGGGCUUUGCUUUAUAAUUCCUUGGGAGAAGGAAAUUACCACCAGAACUCUUCGCCAAGACCCUGUCCAAGGCUGACAAGCUAAUGUACCUCCGAGGCUUCGGCUUCGCAUUCACCUGCUUCCCCUCAGGAAGGCCCCAGGAAGGGCCACCAAAGUCUUUCAGCUUCCCGGAGAAACAGGAGCCCUCCUGCUGGUCCUCCUGCUGGUCCUCCUGCCGGUCCUCCUGCCGGUCCUCCUGCUGGUCCUCCUGCUGGUCCUCCUGCUGGUCCUCCUGCUGGUCCUCCUGCCGGCCCGGCCCCCAGAACCAGAUAGGGGCUUGGUGGGCUCAUAUCCAUCAUGGCAAACCUCAAGUACAGCCCUCCCUGUUCUGUGGAGUAUGGCACUCUCAAAAUCUCUUCUGAGCUGGAGUGGCGGAGGCUGGGAAGUGUGAGAACGAUUUCCGCCUCCCCCUAAUUCUUCUCACUCCAAACCUGUCUGAUUGGGUUGGAAGUAUAAGCUGGUUGCUAAGCCACGACAGGGGUCAUUCCAGGGGGUGGACCCAAGAAUUCACAGAUACAUUUUCUCAAGAAAGGCCAAAGGGAGUCCUCACCCCAAGCUAGGCGCACCUCCAGAAUCAGUCCAGGUUCUGCUACAUAGGUGAAUGAACAAAGAGGUCAAACUCUCUACGUCUAGAAUCACCACAGUGCUCAGGUUUCCUUGCCAUACCCGGCUCUUAGAGGAGUGGGAGCUGGUCUUGCGAUUCCUCUGAAGCCAGCCAAAGCUUGGAAGCCCAGAGGGACACCCAUGCAGGCUUUGGUGUCUGCAAGCAACCAAAGCUGCCGGAUAAAGUCUCCCGGAAAUAGGUGCAGUGGGUUGGCCGAUGGUAUUUCCAGGGCGCACCUCAGUCCUGACCCCCAGGGCCUGGGAAUGGGACUCUAAUGCGGGAAUGUUUCUGUACAUAUCACCAAGGAACUCAAGAUUAAAUUACCUUGGAUUUAGAUUA